RNAcentral lists this unclassified non-coding RNA (358 nucleotides) under soil metagenome. RNAcentral describes it as "partial contains 5.8S ribosomal RNA, internal transcribed spacer 2, and large subunit ribosomal RNA". The stretch from base 1 to 120 matches the Rfam family "5.8S ribosomal RNA", at positions 35 to 154 of the family's 154-position model. The record is from RNAcentral.
GAUGAAGAACGUAGCGAAAUGCGAUAAGUAAUGUGAAUUGCAGAAUUCAGUGAAUCAUCGAAUCUUUGAACGCACAUUGCGCCCGUCAGUAUUCUGGCGGGCAUGCCUGUUCGAGCGUCAUUACGCCCCUCAAGUCCCCUGUGGACUUGGUGUUGGGGAUCGGCGAGGCUGGUUUUCCAGCACAGCCGUCCCUUAAAUUAAUUGGCGGUCUCGCCGUGGCCCUCCUCUGCGCAGUAGUAAAACACUCGCAACAGGAGCCCGGCGCGGUCCACUGCCGUAAAACCCCCCAACUUUUUAUAGUUGACCUCGAAUCAGGUAGGACUACCCGCUGAACUUAAGCAUAUCACUAAGCGGAGGA